CAGAAGCCUAGAUAAAGAAACAAGAUUUCAGGCAGGAAGAAAUAAUAAAGAGGCAGGACUUCAAGUGUCCUGUGAAACACAACAUUCGGCCUCCGGCACACACAUCCGUGGGAGACGGCUCAACUUCUUUAUAAAGUGAGGAACCAAAUUGUGAAGACAUCUGUUCUGUUAUUAAUUUCACAUACAUCUUAAGCUCCUCAAGGCCAGAAAUGAGGCUUCAUUCACGUCGAAUUAAUGAAACAUGAUUGUCCAGAUGUCCAUCCAGGAAUAAACUCCACUGCAUGGAGCCCCAUGGUGAGACGGACUGCAGGCUUGCAGCCCCACACCUAUGCACCGGCAACGUGCCCCCAGGAACACAGGACCAACUCCAAAUUUGGGAAUGAAGAUAAUGUUCAGGGGAACACAGGACCAACUCCAAAUUUGGGAAUGAAGAUAAUGUUCAGCAGCUACAUUUUCACCCCAUCCCGGGCUCCAUGUUCCUGCUGCACACACAUCAAGAAUGCUGCUAAUUUCAGCGUCUGCCUUCCAGACCCAGACGUCAAAACAACUACCUUUCAUCUCAGCAAACUACUAUGUUGUGAGCAGCCCAAUGGAGAGGCCCACAAGACAACGAACUGAAGCCUCCAGCAACAACCCUGUGAGGCUGGAACUGCCCAUAAAGGCUGGCACCCCAGCAGCCACCUUGAGAAAUGCAGUGAUGAUGCUGAGUGGCAAGGCAGAAGGCACAGGGUCCCUGCACCUGAGGAUUGCUGCUCCAAACCUGGGCCACCAGCCUGAAGAUCCCGCCAGGGAGAAAUAAAGCUCUGUUUUGCUGAA
RNAcentral lists this long non-coding RNA (816 nucleotides) under Homo sapiens (human). Its description in RNAcentral is "lncAB227.1". Lineage: Eukaryota; Metazoa; Chordata; Mammalia; Primates; Hominidae. The record is from RNAcentral.